RNAcentral lists this ribosomal RNA (255 nucleotides) under uncultured bacterium. RNAcentral describes it as "partial 16S ribosomal RNA". It matches the Rfam family "Bacterial small subunit ribosomal RNA", at positions 524 to 776 of the family's 1533-position model. The record is from RNAcentral.
UACGUAGGGGGCAAGCGUUGUCCGGAUUUACUGGGCGUAAAGGGUGCGUAGGCGGGUCUUUUAAGUCAGGGGUGAAAUCCUGGAGCUCAACUCCAGAACUGCCUUCGAUACUGGAAGACUUGAGUCCGGGAGAGGUGAGUGGAACUGCGAGUGUAGAGGUGAAAUUCGUAGAUAUUCGCAAGAACACCAGUGGCGAAGGCGGCUCACUGGCCCGGUACUGACGCUGAGGUGCGAAAGCGUGGGGGAGCGAACAGG